UGCCAGAAGAAUCAAGCGGUCAGUCCGCCGCCGUCCAUCUUCGAGUGGCUGCAGCCAUUUCGGCCCAUCAUCACCGUGAGCAAGUUUCCGCCCAUUGUCGAAUUCAUUGCGCAGAGGAUACAAGCACAGUUUUCUAAUUAUAUUUAUGAAGAUUUAAGUCGUCCACAAACGUAUGAUCGUCCCACAUAUAAACCAUACGUGGCAUCAUCAUCUACAUCUACUACAAAAGCACAAAAUGGCGAUAAUAGUAGUUCCGAGGAAGAUAGCAUAACCACAACAACAGAAUAUUUUAUGUUUUCGACGAAUUCACCGCCAAAACUUGUUUUAGUUGAUCAAUAUGAAUUGACAUCAACGCCUAAUUUUAAUCAAACUGUAGAAAUUGAGUAUCAGUUGAGAAAUGUUAUCAAAAUCAACAAAACCAUCGACAAUAAAACUAACAAAAUUGAAUUAGAACAAGCAGUGCAUUUAAUUAUGCAAGAAAAUAAUCUAAAAGAAAACUUUACGCAUGUGUUUGAAAAGUUUGAUUUAGAAAAUGAAGAAAAUGAAAGUUUAUUGAGUUAUAAAGAUGUGUCGAGUUUAUUUUCAAAUAAUAUUGAUGACGAUAUAGUUGAAUACGUACUACGUGAUGAUAGAAACCCAAUAAAAAACAAAGUAAAUGAAAAAAAUAAUGCCAAGAAUAGAAAUUUGAUUGCGCUGACAAAAAUUGGGAAUCAUGUGUAUGUCAAUGUUAUUAACUUUAAAUGUCAACCAAAAACAUAAUAAAAAUAUGAAAAAUUUGUUAUUUUUAAAUGAAAAUAAAUUACUUUAAUAAAA
Long non-coding RNA from Dalotia coriaria, 813 nucleotides. RefSeq lists it as uncharacterized. The record is from RefSeq and is a predicted model, not a curated record. Lineage: Eukaryota; Metazoa; Arthropoda; Insecta; Coleoptera; Staphylinidae. The transcript has 2 exons.